UGCCAACCGGGUGUCUGCACUAAGUUCAGCAUCAAUAUGGUGACCUCCUGGGAGCAGGGGGCCACCAGGUUGCCUAAGGAUGAAUGAACUGGCCCAGAUCAGAAAGGGAGCAGGUCAGGACUCCCGCACCGACUGGUAGUGGGACUGUGCCUGGGCA
Molecule: small RNA, 157 nt
Filed under: Pongo abelii (Sumatran orangutan)
Lineage: Eukaryota; Metazoa; Chordata; Mammalia; Primates; Hominidae
Description: Metazoan signal recognition particle RNA (ENSPPYG00000039449.1)
Rfam family: Metazoan signal recognition particle RNA
About the family: The signal recognition particle (SRP) is a universally conserved ribonucleoprotein. It is involved in the co-translational targeting of proteins to membranes.
Source: Rfam by way of RNAcentral